Molecule: ribosomal RNA, 497 nt
Filed under: uncultured bacterium
Lineage: Bacteria
Description: partial 16S ribosomal RNA
Rfam family: Bacterial small subunit ribosomal RNA
Source: RNAcentral
GAUGAACGCUUUCUUCCUUCUUAACACAUUCAAGUCGAGCGGGAAGACGUGGUUCUUGCUGCUGUCACGUUAGCGACGGAUGGGUAAGUAACCCGUGGAUGACCAACAUAGAAGGAUAGGACAACUUAGGCAAACCGGAGCGAAGACCGGAUAAUAGAUUGAACCCGAGGGUUCAAUAGUGAAUGACGGUUUUGCUGUUACUGAUAGAGGUUACCGAGGCGAUUAAGCUAAGUGGUAAGGUAACGACGUACCAAGGCGACGAUGCGUAGCCGACCUGAGAGGGUGACAGGCCACACUGGAACUGAGACACGGUCCAGACUCCUACGGGAGGCAGCAGUAGGGAAUCUUGCGCAAUGGGCGAAAGCCUGACGCAGCAACGCCGCGUGAGUGAUGAAGGUCUUCGGAUCGUAAAAAAAUGGUAUUAGGGAAGAACAAAUGUGUAACUAACUAAAGACGUCAUGACGGUACCUGAUGAAUAAGCAAAGGCUAAAUACGGG